GAAUGCUGAGGAGGAACUGGCAAGUGGUCCUCUAAAGUCCAACCAACUCCGUUUUUUAAGAAGAAGCUCCGUUUUGUACGAGGCCUGACUCCAACUCCAGGAUGAAAACCACGAAGCCCACUUGAGCAAGCAUCAUAUGACAACUACCCCGUCCCCUGGACCACACCCCUAGCAACGGCCAGUCAGGCUAUACAGGCAGGACCAAGGAGGCAGCUGAGGGUGGGGGUCGGGGGACAUUCUCUGGGACUUGUUACUGAACAAAGAAAGAAGGCACAUGCCACAAAGAUAACUUCAAAUCUGCGCUUCAGAUCCUGCUACUGAGCUGACAAGUGCUGGGACAAGUCUGACCCAUUCUUCCUAGAAGGAGACACAGAGGAGACAGGGUCCGUACCAGAAGAAGAAGAAAGGGCGUCCCUUGAAAAGCAUGUCUGUGGAGUUUAGUUUAAAAAGAUCAGACUUUUCUGGUUCUAAAACGUAGAGGUCAUAUUAAAAAUUAAAAAG
Molecule: long non-coding RNA, 501 nt
Filed under: Mus pahari (shrew mouse)
Lineage: Eukaryota; Metazoa; Chordata; Mammalia; Rodentia; Muridae
Description: lncRNA (MGP_PahariEiJ_G0005453.1)
Source: RNAcentral